GACGAACGCUGGCGGCGUGCCUAAUACAUGCAAGUUGAGCGAUGAAGAUUGGUGCUUGCACCAAUUUGAAGAGCAGCGAACGGGUGAGUAACGCGUGGGGAAUCUGCCUUUGAGCGGGGGACAGCAUUUGGAAACGAAUGCUAAUACCGCAUAACAACUUUAAACAUAAGUUUUAAGUUUGGAAGAUGCAAUUGCAUCACUCAAAGAUGAUCCCGCGUUGUAUUAGCUAGUUGGUGAGGUAAAGGCUCACCAAGGCGAUGAUACAUAGCCGACCUGAGAGGGUGAUCGGCCACAUUGGGACUGAGACACGGCCCAAACUCCUACGGGAGGCAGCAGUAGGGAAUCUUCGGCAAUGGACGAAAGUCUGACCGAGCAACGCCGCGUGAGUGAAGAAGGUUUUCGGAUCGUAAAACUCUGUUGGUAGAGAAGAACGUUGGUGAGAGUGGAAAGCUCAUCAAGUGACGGUAACUACCCAGAAAGGGACGGCUAACUACGUG
Molecule: ribosomal RNA, 497 nt
Filed under: uncultured bacterium
Lineage: Bacteria
Description: partial 16S ribosomal RNA
Rfam family: Bacterial small subunit ribosomal RNA
Source: RNAcentral